Molecule: ribosomal RNA, 506 nt
Filed under: uncultured bacterium
Lineage: Bacteria
Description: partial 16S ribosomal RNA
Rfam family: Bacterial small subunit ribosomal RNA
Source: RNAcentral
AUUGAACGCUGGCGGCAUGCCUUACACAUACAAGUCGAACGGCAGCAUGGAAGAGCUUGCUCUUCUGAUGGCGAGUGGCGAACGGGUGAGUAAAGCAUCGGAACGUACCGUGUAGUGGGGGAUAACGUAGCGAAAGUUACGCUAAUACCGCAUACGCACUGAGGUGGAAAGCAGGGGAUCGCAAGACCUUGCGCUAUACGAGCGGCCGAUGCCAGAUUAGCUAGUUGGUAGGGUAAAGGCCUACCAAGGGGACGAUCUGUAGCGGGUCUGAGAGGAUGAUCCGCCACACUGGGACUGAGACACGGCCCAGACUCCUACGGGAGGCAGCAGUGGGGAAUUUUGGACAAUGGGCGAAAGCCUGAUCCAGCCAUGCCGCGUGAGUGAAGAAGGCCUUCGGGUUGUAAAGCUCUUUCGGCUGGGAAGAAAUCGCACAGGCUAAUACUCUGUGUGGAUGACGGUACCAGCACAAGAAGCACCGGCUAACUACGUGCCAGCCGCCGCGGUAA